UGUCAGCAAUACCAUCCCUCUCACAUGGCUAUAGUAGGUAUGGCAGCAAGCUUCCAAUAUAAGACUGGACCCAGAUCAACCUCACUUCAUCAAAAUAUGACUCUUGCAAAGCAUCAGAUCUGAGAAGAACCUAUCUUUGGCGUCUGCCAAUCUCCUUCAUCCCAUGCGAGCUUGUGCGAAAGAUUUAUCUUACUCUCAACAGCCGUCCUUCUGAUCUAAUGCUACUUGGAUUGAAGAAUCGGUUCCCUUGGCUGCGUUUGAGUGUUCGCAAGCAAGAGUUUUGUUCUUCAUUUUUCUGAUUUUGUUUAUGUUUAUUUUUGAUUUUGAUAUAGAACCCAGAAAAGUAGCAGAGAGACUAUGUAUAUAGGCCUAUAGCAAGCUUAGGGAACGAUUUUAAUUACAAAAAUUUAUAUAAAACUUGGAGUUUUACUUGUUGGCGAAUCCAUAGUUGAAUUUUUUUCAGGUGGAUAUGUCUUUUUUUUUUGCUCAAUAAUUCAGCAAAUUCUUUUUUUUUUUUCUUUGCACCUUAGAACGGGAGUUCAAUUAUAUCAAAAUACUAGUUUUUUUUUUUUUUUUUUGUGUUUUGGGGGUGGGGGGGAUGUUGAUUAUUUAAAACUAAAGAUUAACAAUUUAGUUCUUUCUUAUUUCUUAAUGUUUGGAAAUUGUAAGUAUGAAUUCUAAAAAUAGCUUAUUCGGUUAAGAUUCUUGUCUGAUUUUAAAAUUUCAAGCUGUGAUAGAGCAGUUUGGUGGAACUGGUUAUGAAAGCUCAGAUGUAAUGGUGAUAGAUGAGGUUGAGAGACAGAGACAUCAACAGCUAGAGAAACUGUAUAGGUCUACUUGUGCAGGAAAGGCAUACAUGAACUUUGUUUACAUUGUAGAAUUUUGACUUCAAACUAUGGCUGAAAAAUUUGUACUACUCAAUGUGAUGAUAGUUAGUGUAUUGAUCUCACAUUUUGGGAAAGAACAAAGUUUGAUUUUAUAGGUGACAUGACAAUGAAACCUGCUAGGCAUAUAUAGGUGGCUAUUUGUUUUGCUAUCUUGGAUCACAAGUCUGGGAACAUCUUGUCCUGCUAAUCUAAAAUGUCAGAUUUUUUUGAGGUAUUAUUAUUUCUUUUUGGUGCCAAACUUGUUCCAUCUGUCAAACUCAUUUUUCAUAAUUCUUAUGCUCAGGAUUUUCAAAAAGAAAUUGUAAAUGCAGCUGAAGCAUUGACAGCGAUAGGAUAUAAGCAUAUUGAAGCAGAUACAAUGGGAAGUGUGUGAUAUAAUGGGAAGUGUGUGAAGUUAUGUGAUAUAAAUGGAAGUGUGUGAAGUUAAUACUUAGUACUCUAUGAAAUUGGCUUAUCUUACUAAAGUCUGCAAAUAGAAAAUAUGUCAAGCCUUUGCGGUUGCGCUUAUUACUAUCUGUAAUCUUUUCGUGGUAGUCAGGUACCUAGUUGUCUGAGGAUUGUAAAAGGUAUGGAGCUGAAAAUGUCCCUGACAAAAUUUUAACUAAAGGUGCGUCUAUAUACUUUGAUGCUCGUAAGCAUGUGGAAAGGAACAAGAAGACUUGAAUAAGUUGUUAUCUUCACAGGAUUCUAUUUUGAAACAGACUUUGAACCGGGAAUGGUCAUUCACCCAAACAAAUGGAAUGAACAAUCUCACAUUAAUCGUUGAUGAAGUGGCAUGGGACAAACUGAAGCUUAAUGACUUUCUGAUGAAACUGUGAUGUAUGAAUCAACCUGCUCAAGACCUUGAGACAACAAUAUCAUGCAGUUUUUCCUUAUUGAGCUUUACUAGUGAAAGAAACAUCGACUUAUUGACCAUGAAUGUAUACUUGUGCGCAUAGGCUUGUAAGUUGUAAUAGGUUUCUUUAUUAGGUAGUGCAAUAAGCUGUAGUUACAUUUGUAACAAACGGUAGAUUUUGAUUGAAUGAUGAUGUAUAUCAAUAAAUUGGUAGACAUCAUUCAUGUA
Long non-coding RNA from Rosa rugosa (rugosa rose), 1950 nucleotides. RefSeq lists it as uncharacterized. The record is from RefSeq and is a predicted model, not a curated record. Lineage: Eukaryota; Viridiplantae; Streptophyta; Magnoliopsida; Rosales; Rosaceae. The transcript is spliced from 4 exons.